ACUCCUACGGGAGGCAGCAGUAGGGAAUCUUCCACAAUGGGCGCAAGCCUGAUGGAGCAACACCGCGUGAGUGAAGAAGGGUUUCGGCUCGUAAAGCUCUGUUGUUAAAGAAGAACACGUAUGAGAGUAACUGUUCAUACGUUGACGGUAUUUAACCAGAAAGUCACGGCUAACUACGUGCCAGCAGCCGCGGUAAUACGUAGGUGGCAAGCGUUAUCCGGAUUUAUUGGGCGUAAAGGGAACGCAGGCGGUCUUUUAAGUCUGAUGUGAAAGCCUUCGGCUUAACCGGAGUAGUGCAUUGGAAACUGGGAGACUUGAGUGCAGAAGAGGAGAGUGGAACUCCAUGUGUAGCGGUGAAAUGCGUAGAUAUAUGGAAGAACACCAGUGGCGAAAGCGGCUCUCUGGUCUGUAACUGACGCUGAGGUUCGAAAGCGUGGGUAGCAAACAGGAUUAGAUACCCUGGUAGGAUAGCG
This 473-nucleotide ribosomal RNA is filed under the name uncultured bacterium. RNAcentral's name for it is "bacterial SSU rRNA". It matches the Rfam family "Bacterial small subunit ribosomal RNA", at positions 335 to 799 of the family's 1533-position model. The record is from RNAcentral.